AGCAGCAGAGGUGAACACAUCCGUAUUCAACCCUCGCCUUUUACUAGAGUUGACCGUGCGUCUGCCUCAUUAAAUGCUGCGGUGCAAUUUUUCAGACAAAUGUCCUUCCCGGACUUGA
This 118-nucleotide small nuclear RNA is filed under the name Rhizoctonia solani. RNAcentral's name for it is "U5 spliceosomal RNA". It matches the Rfam family "U5 spliceosomal RNA". From Rfam's summary of the family: U5 RNA is a component of both types of known spliceosome. The precise function of this molecule is unknown, though it is known that the 5' loop is required for splice site selection and p220 binding, and that both the 3' stem-loop and the Sm site are important for Sm protein binding and cap methylation. The record is from Rfam by way of RNAcentral. Lineage: Eukaryota; Fungi; Basidiomycota; Agaricomycetes; Cantharellales; Ceratobasidiaceae.